GGUCAAGGUCCAGCCUAGCCCAUUGGCAUGUUCGAACGAGGAUCUUCGGUAUCUAGUGGCGCACGGGUGCGUAACGCGUGGGACUCUGCCCUUGGGUACGGAAUAACUCAGAGAAAUUUGUGCUAAUACCGUAUAAUGUCUUCGGACCAAAGAUUUAUCGCCCAAGGAUGAGCCCGCGUAGGAUUAGCUAGUUGGUGAGGUAAAAGCUCACCAAGGCGACGAUCCUUAGCUGGUCUGAGAGGAUGAUCAGCCACACUGGGACUGAGACACGGCCCAGACUCCUACGGGAGGCAGCAGUGGGGAAUAUUGGACAAUGGGCGAAAGCCUGAUCCAGCAAUGCCGCGUGAGUGAUGAAGGCCCUAGGGUUGUAAAGCUCUUUUACCCGGGAUGAUAAUGACAGUACCGGGAGAAUAAGCUCCGGCUAACUUCGUGCCAGCAGCCGCGGUAAUACGAGGGGAGCUAGCGUUGUUCGGAAUUACUGGGCGUAAAGCGCGCGUAGGCGGUUUUUUAAGUCAGAGGUGAAAGCCCGGGGCUCAACCCCGGAAUUGCCUUUGAAACUGGAAAACUAGAAUCUUGGAGAGGUCAGUGGAAUUCCGAGUGUAGAGUUGAAAUUCCUAGAUAUUCGGAAGAACACGGUGCCGAAGGCGACUGACUGGACAAGUAUUGACGCUGAGGUGCGAAAGCCGGGGGGGAGCAAACGGGGAUUAGAUACCCCUGGGUGUCCCACGGC
RNAcentral lists this ribosomal RNA (730 nucleotides) under Sphingomonas sp. Its description in RNAcentral is "bacterial SSU rRNA". It matches the Rfam family "Bacterial small subunit ribosomal RNA", at positions 60 to 800 of the family's 1533-position model. The record is from RNAcentral. Lineage: Bacteria; Pseudomonadati; Pseudomonadota; Alphaproteobacteria; Sphingomonadales; Sphingomonadaceae.